Molecule: ribosomal RNA, 465 nt
Filed under: uncultured bacterium
Lineage: Bacteria
Description: partial 16S ribosomal RNA
Rfam family: Bacterial small subunit ribosomal RNA
Source: RNAcentral
GACGAACGCUGGCGGCACGCUUAACGCAUGCAAGUCGAACGAGAGAAGAGAAGCUUGCUUUUCUGAUCUAGUGGCGGACGGGUGAGUAACACGUGAGCAAUCUGCCUUUCAGAGGGGGAUACCGAUUGGAAACGAUCGUUAAUACCGCAUAACAUAAUUGAACCGCAUGAUUUGAUUAUCAAAGAUUUAUCGCUGAAAGAUGAGCUCGCGUCUGAUUAGCUAGUUGGUAAGGUAACGGCUUACCAAGGCGACGAUCAGUAGCCGGACUGAGAGGUUGAUCGGCCACAUUGGGACUGAGACACGGCCCAGACUCCUACGGGAGGCAGCAGUGGGGAAUAUUGCACAAUGGAGGAAACUCUGAUGCAGCGAUGCCGCGUGAGGGAAGAAGGUUUUAGGAUUGUAAACCUCUGUCUUCAGGGACGAAAAAAGACGGUACCUGAGGAGGAAGCGCCGGCUAACUACGUG